GGUGUAAUGGUGUAAUGGCUACCACUCUGGACUUUGAAUCCAACCAUCCAGGUUCAAAUCUUGGUGGGACCU
This 72-nucleotide transfer RNA is filed under the name Loxodonta africana (African savanna elephant). It matches the Rfam family "tRNA". From Rfam's summary of the family: Transfer RNA (tRNA) molecules are approximately 80 nucleotides in length. Lineage: Eukaryota; Metazoa; Chordata; Mammalia; Proboscidea; Elephantidae. The record is from Rfam by way of RNAcentral.